UACGAAGGGGGCUAGCGUUGUUCGGAUUUACUGGGCGUAAAGCGCGUGUAGGCGGACUUGUAAGUUGGGGGUGAAAUCCCGAGGCUCAACCUCGGAACUGCCUCCAAAACUACAAGUCUGGAGCAAGAUAGAGGCAAGUGGAAUUGCGAGUGUAGAGGUGAAAUUCGUAGAUAUUCGGAAGAACACCAGUGGCGAAGGCGACUCACUGGACACAUAUUGACGCUGAGGUGCGAAAGCGUGGGGAGCAAACAGG
This 253-nucleotide ribosomal RNA is filed under the name uncultured bacterium. RNAcentral describes it as "partial 16S ribosomal RNA". It matches the Rfam family "Bacterial small subunit ribosomal RNA", at positions 524 to 776 of the family's 1533-position model. The record is from RNAcentral.